Molecule: long non-coding RNA, 486 nt
Organism: Fukomys damarensis (Damara mole-rat)
Lineage: Eukaryota; Metazoa; Chordata; Mammalia; Rodentia; Bathyergidae
Exons: 4
Source: RefSeq, a predicted model, not a curated record
GGCAUGCGGGGAGCUCCGAGGCCACGACGUGUGGGUCCCAUCCGACCUGUACCGCACCUGCGUCCUCCCUUUGAAGGUCCCGGAUCCUCUGUUCCGUCCUCUUGAUCUGCAUGCCUGUUUUUGUCCCUGAGCGCUGUCUCUAAGUCUCCCCCACCUCUCAGUGGUGUUGCGGGGGGGCCUCCUAUUGCGUGGCCCUUGGGAGACAUUCAAGAUCUGACACUGGCACAGCCAUGGGAAACUAGGACCGCUGCUCGCCUGAAGUUUUAUGGUAGACACUGCUCGGCGUGAGGAGACCGAGCAGCAGGACCCCAGUCUCGAGCAGUUGCACCCCUGACUGGCUCCUCACAGGGCCAGGCAAAGCCUCCCUCCCCAGGACCGGAUGUUGAGCAGGUGGGAGCUGAGAAAACAGCAGGCCAAAGGAACAAACCAUUUCCUCAGGCUGUUGAGGACACUCUCUGAGACAGAUGGAACCAUUAAUUCUGCCAA